CCAAUUAUAGCCCGUUGAUUUCAUUUAAGACGCUAAAAUGGAAUCCUUUUCAUUUGUUAACU
RNAcentral lists this transfer RNA (62 nucleotides) under Gerbera jamesonii. RNAcentral describes it as "tRNA-Gln". The record is from RNAcentral. Lineage: Eukaryota; Viridiplantae; Streptophyta; Magnoliopsida; Asterales; Asteraceae. RNAcentral also lists the same sequence under 1 other name.